RNAcentral lists this ribosomal RNA (511 nucleotides) under Akanthomyces dipterigenus. RNAcentral describes it as "eukaryotic LSU rRNA". It matches the Rfam family "Eukaryotic large subunit ribosomal RNA", at positions 106 to 642 of the family's 3401-position model. The record is from RNAcentral. Lineage: Eukaryota; Fungi; Ascomycota; Sordariomycetes; Hypocreales; Cordycipitaceae.
AGCUCAAAUUUGAAAUCUGGCCCCCGGGUCCGAGUUGUAAUUUGUAGAGGAUGCUUUUGGCGAGGUGCCUUCCGAGUUCCCUGGAACGGGACGCCAUAGAGGGUGAGAGCCCCGUCUGGUCGGACACCGAGCCUCUGUAAAGCUCCUUCGACGAGUCGAGUAGUUUGGGAAUGCUGCUCAAAAUGGGAGGUAUAUGUCUUCUAAAGCUAAAUAUUGGCCAGAGACCGAUAGCGCACAAGUAGAGUGAUCGAAAGAUGAAAAGCACUUUGAAAAGAGGGUUAAAAAGUACGUGAAAUUGUUGAAAGGGAAGCGCCUAUGACCAGACUUGGGCCCGGUGAAUCAUCCAGCGUUCUCGCUGGUGCACUUUGCCGGGCACAGGCCAGCAUCAGUUUGGCGCGGGGGAGAAAGGCUCUGGGAAUGUGGCUCCUCCGGGAGUGUUAUAGCCCACUGCGUAAUACCCUGCGCCGGACUGAGGUACGCGCAUUGCAAGGAUGCUGGCGUAAUGGUCAUC